CCUACGGGAGGCAGCAGUGGGGAAUAUUGGACAAUGGGCGAAAGCCUGAUCCAGCAAUGCCGCGUGAGUGAUGAAGGCCUUAGGGUUGUAAAGCUCUUUUACCAGGGAUGAUAAUGACAGUACCUGGAGAAUAAGCUCCGGCUAACUCCGUGCCAGCAGCCGCGGUAAUACGGAGGGAGCUAGCGUUGUUCGGAAUUACUGGGCGUAAAGCGUACGUAGGCGGUUAUUCAAGUCAGAGGUGAAAGCCUGGAGCUCAACUCCAGAACUGCCUUUGAAACUAGGUAGCUAGAAUCACGGAGAGGUUAGUGGAAUUCCGAGUGUAGAGGUGAAAUUCGUAGAUAUUCGGAAGAACACCAGUGGCGAAGGCGACUAACUGGACGUGUAUUGACGCUGAGGUACGAAAGCGUGGGGAGCAAACAGGAUUAGAUACCCUGGUAGUCCACGCCGUAAACGAUGAUAACUAGCUGUUCGGUCUCUACGAGACUGAGUGGCGCAGCUACGACAUUAAGUUAUCCGUCCGUCGGGAGGUACGGUCGCGAAGAAGUUAAACGUAACGAAAGGUAAAGUUAGUACGGUUCGUUGUAGACGUUGCCGACGGACGACGACGAGGGAGGAGG
RNAcentral lists this ribosomal RNA (617 nucleotides) under uncultured bacterium. RNAcentral's name for it is "bacterial SSU rRNA". The stretch from base 1 to 518 matches the Rfam family "Bacterial small subunit ribosomal RNA", at positions 338 to 873 of the family's 1533-position model. The record is from RNAcentral.